AUUGCCGUCACUAAAACAGUUAAC
Molecule: small nuclear RNA, 24 nt
Filed under: Arabidopsis thaliana (thale cress)
Lineage: Eukaryota; Viridiplantae; Streptophyta; Magnoliopsida; Brassicales; Brassicaceae
Description: snRNA_14612
Source: RNAcentral